AAAGAAGGUGUGUUGGCGCCUGCGCAGAACCAGCUAGGGCAGCAAAAUUUCACGGCCAGUGCAUGUGAACGCGCCGAGGUAGGUUAGAUUUAUGGCCCACCGCGCAUGCGCCGGGAGCCUCAGCAGCGUUACAGGGAAGGCAAAAAUUAUGGGCCAGUGCGCACGCGCGGCGGACAGGGAGAUCUCUCAUCCCGAAAAUGUUCUAUAAAAUCUCCCUACCUCUCACAGCGCACGCGCGGGGUCUGAUCAUCUGGAGCAUCCUGACUGUUCUAUCAGUGUCCCAACUCUGACCAGCAUGUUCUCCUAUGGAACACGAAGUACCUAAGGUGGAAUGAAGAAGCCCAUGUUGAGGCCCGCGCCCCCGGCUGGAGCAGUGAAGGGGCAUCUGACAGGUCAACUUCAGCUCCUGGAGCGUUAAUCUGCCAGGAGCCAACGGAAGUGCUCUUCUCAAGUGCAUGUCAAGAGUAGGAAAAAAUACUUAAGAUAAAGUUGUUCCUGUUUGGUCUUAAUUUGUGGGCGUUGUAAGAUUGUAGAUUGUAAUAUGCUUUCUGGUUACAUUUUGGUGAGUUUUAACUUCAUUUUUGAUUUUUACAGAUCCAGAGGGAAGGAGCAAACCGCCUUGAGGAGUCCCUACAUAAUAGACUAUUGGAUACAGAAGGGCUGUACUAAAGGAAGAUCUCAUCACAGCAUCAUCCAAGCCCUAGUCAGGAGUAUAUGAGGCCUCUUAAGAGUAAAGAGCGGCUAACAAUAUCUG
This is a long non-coding RNA of Bufo bufo (common toad), 754 nucleotides long. RefSeq lists it as uncharacterized. The record is from RefSeq and is a predicted model, not a curated record. The transcript has 3 exons. Lineage: Eukaryota; Metazoa; Chordata; Amphibia; Anura; Bufonidae.